Molecule: unclassified non-coding RNA, 253 nt
Filed under: uncultured Oceanospirillales bacterium
Lineage: Bacteria; Pseudomonadati; Pseudomonadota; Gammaproteobacteria; Oceanospirillales
Description: contains 16S-23S intergenic spacer region
Rfam family: Bacterial small subunit ribosomal RNA
Source: RNAcentral
UACGGAGGGUGCAAGCGUUAAUCGGAAUAACUGGGCGUAAAGCGCGCGUAGGCGGUUGAGUCAGUCAGAUGUGAAAGCCCCGGGCUUAACCUGGGAACUGCACCUGAUACUGCUGAACUUGAGUACGGUAGAGGGCAGUGGAAUUUCAUGUGUAGCGGUGAAAUGCGUAGAUAUAGGAAGGAACACCAGUGGCGAAGGCGACUUCCUGGACUGAUACUGACACUGAGGCGCGAAAGCGUGGGUAGCAAACAGG